UUGUGGAGGAGGACGCCGAAGGUGGGGCUAAUGACUGGGGUGAAGUCGUAACAAGGUAGCCGUACCGGAAGGUGCGGCUGGAUCACCUCCUAACAGGGAGACAACAAAAUGUUAAAUAUUAAUUUUGUCACCUUAGGUCGAUCGGUAUCUCACAUUCUUAAUUUAUUUAAGGAUUUUAUUUCCUAAGUUUUUCUAGGUCACACCCAUCACUUUUCCUGGGCCAUUAGCUCAGGUGGUUAGAGCGCACCCCUGAUAAGGGUGAGGUCCCUGGUUCAAGUCCAGGAUGGCCCAUAUCUCUAUGUUGGGGGUAUAGCUCAGUUGGUAGAGCGCCUGCUUUGCAAGCAGGAUGUCAGCGGUUCGAGUCCGCUUACCUCCACUGAUUACCACCUCUUCCAUAAUCUGUAGAAAGGAAAUGUUUUGAGUUGUGAUCAAAUUCUGAACGAAUCUAGCUUCCUAAUGAAAUCAUUAAGAUGCUGGACUCAUUGAAUUAAUUUCAUUGUUUUCAGAGAACCUUGACAACUGCAUAGAUUAUUUUUAAAGACAAUAAGCAUCUUUAUGAUGCAGAUUUAUUAUUUGUGCUAAUGCAUUAAUAACAAUUCUAUUAAGCUGAUGCUUCAAUUAUGAAGUUAUUGGUCAAGCUACAA
RNAcentral lists this unclassified non-coding RNA (644 nucleotides) under uncultured Prochlorococcus sp. RNAcentral describes it as "partial 16S-23S ribosomal RNA intergenic spacer; may also contain 16S ribosomal RNA and 23S ribosomal RNA". The stretch from base 304 to 376 matches the Rfam family "tRNA". The record is from RNAcentral. Lineage: Bacteria; Bacillati; Cyanobacteriota; Cyanophyceae; Synechococcales; Prochlorococcaceae.